CCCUUAGAUGUUCUGGGCCGCACGCGCGCUACACUGAUGCAUUCAACGAGCCUAUCCUUGACCGACAGGUCCGGGUAAUCUUUGAAUCUGCAUCGUGACGGGGAUAGAUUAUUGCAAUUAUUAAUCUUCAACGAGGAAUGCCUAGUAGGCGCAAGUCAUCAGCUUGCGUCGAUUACGUCCCUGCCCUUUGUACACACCGCCCGUCGCUACUACUGAUUGGACGUUUAAGCAAGAUUUUUAAACACUGACAGUUAAUGGCUUCGGCCAAGACACAGUGAGAAGAAGAAGAUCGAGCUUACUUGUCUAGAGGAAGUAAAAGUCGUAACA
This 327-nucleotide ribosomal RNA is filed under the name uncultured eukaryote. RNAcentral's name for it is "partial 18S ribosomal RNA". It matches the Rfam family "Eukaryotic small subunit ribosomal RNA", at positions 1470 to 1796 of the family's 1831-position model. The record is from RNAcentral.